Molecule: microRNA precursor, 81 nt
Filed under: Python bivittatus (Burmese python)
Lineage: Eukaryota; Metazoa; Chordata; Lepidosauria; Squamata; Pythonidae
Source: RNAcentral
GCUCAGUGUAGCAGCUGGUGUUGUGAAUCAGGCCGUCACCUAUUAGAGAACGGCUACUUCACAACACCAGGGUUGCCCUGU